UCCAUAUUUUUUUACAGUCUAUGGUUAGACUACAAAUGUAAAAUUCUCCCCUCUCCCCUGUCCUCUCUCAUCCACUCUCUUCUCCUCCUCUCUUCCUAUUCUCCCAUCUCCUCUCUCCUCUCCUCUGCUCUCCUCCUCCCCUCUCUUCUCUUCUCUUCUCUUCUCUCCUCUCCUUAUCUCUCCUCUCCUCUGCUCUCCUCCUCCCCUCUCUUCUCUUCUCUUCUCUCCUCUCCUCUCCUCUCCUCUCCUCUCUUCUUUCCUCCUCUCUUUUCCUCACCUCUCCUUUCCACCCCACUCUCCUCUCCUCUUCUUCCCUUCUUCUCCUUCCCUCUUCUCCCUUCCCCUCUCUCCUCCUCUCCUCUCCUCCCCCUUUCCUCCCCUCCUCCUCUCUCAUCUCCUCUCCUCCUAUUCUCCCAUCUCCUCUCUCCUCCUCUCCUCUCCUCUCCUCUCCUCUCUUCUCUUUUCUUCUCUUCUCUUCUCUUCUCUUCUCUUCUCUCCUCUCCUCUCCUCUCCUCCCCUCUCCUUAUCUCUCCUCUCCUCUCUUCUUCCUCCUCUCUUCUUUCCUCCUCUCUUUUCCUCACCUCUCCUUUCCACCCCACUCUCCUCUCCUCUUCUUCCCUUCUUCUCCUUCCCUCUUCUCCCUUCCCCUCUCUCCUCCUCUUCUCUCCUCCCCCUUUCCUCCCCUCCUCCUCUCUCAUCUCCUCUCCUCCUAUUCUCCCAUCUCCUCUCUCCUCCUCUCCUCUCCUCUCCUCUCUUCUCUUUUCUUCUCUUCUCUUCUCUUCUCUUCUCUCCUCUCUGUUCUCUCCUCUCCUCCUUUCCUCCUAUUCUCCCCUCUCUCCUCUCCUCCUCUCUUCUCUCCUCUCCUCUCCUCCUCUCCUCCCCUCUCCUCUCCUCUCUUGUCUUCUCUCCUCUCCUCCUUUCCUCCUAUUCUCCCCUCUCUCCUCUCCUCUCCUCUCCUCCUCUCUUCUCUCCUCUCCUCUCCUCCUCUCCUCUCCUCUCCUCUCCUCUCCUCCCCUCUCCUCUCUUGUCUUCUCUCCUCUCCUCUCCACUUCUCUCCUCUCCUCCUCUCCUCCUAUCUCCUCUCCUCCUUUCCACCUCUCUUCUAUCCUCUCCACUCCACUCCUCUCCUUCCCGCUCUCCUCUCCUCCUCUCUCCUCUCCUCUCCUCUCCUCUCCUCCUCUCUCCUCUCUUCUCCCUUCUCUCCUCUCCUCCUCUCUUCUCCCUUCUCUCCUCUCCUCUCUCCUAUCCUUUCCUCCCCUCUCUCCUCUCCUUCUCUCUCUUCUCCUCCUCUCCUCUUUUCUUCCUCUACUUUCCUCCCCUCUCUCCUCUCCUUCCCUCUAUCCUCUCCUCCUCUCUCCUCUCUUUUCAUCCCCUCUCCUUUCCUCCCCUCUCCUUCUCUCUCUCCUCUCCUCUCUCCUUUCUCCUCUCUUCUUUCCUCCUCUCCUUUCCUCCCCUCUCUCCUCCUAUUCUCUUCCUCUCCUUCCCUCUUCUCCCUUCUCCUCUCUCCUCCUCUCCUCUCCUCCCCCUUUCCUCCCCUCUCCUCUCUUUUCAUCCCCUCUCCUCUUCUCUUCUUCCUUCUCUCUUCUUUUCUCCUCUCUUUUCCUCCUCUCUUCUUUCCUCCCCUCUCCUCCCCUCUCUCCUCUCCUCGAUCCUCUUCUCUUCCCCUCCUUUCCUUUUCUCCCUUCCCCUCUCUCCUCCUCUCCUCCUCUCCCCCUUUCCUCCCCUCUCCUCUCUUUUCAUCCCCUCUCCUCCUCUCUCCUUCCUCCUCUUUUCUUUUCUCCUCUCUUUUCCUCCCCUCUCCUUCUCUCUCUCCUCUCCUCUCUCCUUCCUCCUCUCUUCUUUCCUCCUCUCUUUUCCUUACCUCUCCUUUCCUCCCCUCUCUCCUCUCCUCCUUUUCUCUUCCUCUCCUUCCCUCUGCUCCCUUCCCCUCUCUCCUCCUCUUCUCUCCUCCCCCUUUCCUCCCCUCUCCUCUCUUUUCCUCCCCUCUCCUUUCCUUCCCUCUCCUUCUCUCUCCUCUCCUCUCCUUCCUCCUCUCUUCUUUCCUCCUCUAUUUUCCUCACCUCUCCUUCCUCCCCUCUCUCAUCUCCUCCUCUUCUCUUCCUCUCCUUUCCUCUUCUCCCUUCCCCUCUCUCUUCCUCUCCUCCCCCUUUCCUCCCCUCUCCUCUCUUUUCAUCCUCUCUCCUCCUCUCUCCUUUCUCCUCUCUUCUUUUCUCCUGUCUUUUCCUCCCCUCUCCUUUCCUCCCCACUCCUUCCCUCUGUCCUCUCCUCCUCUCUUCUUUCCUUUCCACUCCUCCCUUUUCAGUCUCUCCUCUCCACUCCUCUCUUCUUCUCUCAUCUCCUCCCCUCUCUCCUCUCCUCUGCUCCCCUCUCUUCUCCUCUCAUCUUUCCUCUCCUCUCCUUUCCUUCCCUCUCCCCUCUCCUCCUCUCUUCUCUCCUCCCCUCUCUCCUCCUAUUCUCUUCCUCUCCUUCCCUCUUCUCCCUUCUCCUCUCUCCUCCUCUCCUCUCCUCCCCCUUUCCUCCCCUCUCCUCUCUUUUCAUCCCCUCUCCUCUUCUCUUCUUCCUUCUCUCUUCUUUUCUCCUCUCUUUUCCUCCUCUCUUCUUUCCUCCCCUCUCCUCCCCUCUCUCCUCUCCUCGAUCCUCUUCUCUUCCCCUCCUUUCCUUUUCUCCCUUCCCCUCUCUCCUCCUCUCCUCCUCUCCCCCUUUCCUCCCCUCUCCUCUCUUUUCAUCCCCUCUCCUCCUCUCUCCUUCCUCCUCUUUUCUUUUCUCCUCUCUUUUCCUCCCCUCUCCUUCUCUCUCUCCUCUCCUCUCUCCUUCCUCCUCUCUUCUUUCCUCCUCUCUUUUCCUUACCUCUUCUUUCCUCCCCUCUCUCCUCUCCUCCUUUUCUCUUCCUCUCCUUCCCUCUGCUCCCUUCCCCUCUCUCCUCCUCUUCUCUCCUCCCCCUUUCCUCCCCUCUCCUCUCUUUUCCUCCCCUCUCCUUUCCUUCCCUCUCCUUCUCUCUCCUCUCCUCUCCUUCCUCCUCUCUUCUUUCCUCCUCUAUUUUCCUCACCUCUCCUUCCUCCCCUCUCUCAUCUCCUCCUCUUCUCUUCCUCUCCUUUCCUCUUCUCCCUUCCCCUCUCUCUUCCUCUCCUCCCCCUUUCCUCCCCUCUCCUCUCUUUUCAUCCUCUCUCCUCCUCUCUCCUUUCUCCUCUCUUCUUUUCUCCUGUCUUUUCCUCCCCUCUCCUUUCCUCCCCACUCCUUCCCUCUGUCCUCUCCUCCUCUCUUCUUUCCUUUCCACUCCUCCCUUUUCAGUCUCUCCUCUCCACUCCUCUCUUCUUCUCUCAUCUCCUCCCCUCUCUCCUCUCCUCUGCUCCCCUCUCUUCUCCUCUCAUCUUUCCUCUCCUCUCCUUUCCUUCCCUCUCCCCUCUCCUCCUCUCUUCUCUCCUCCCCUCUCCUAUCCUAUCCUCUCCUCUCCACUCCUCAAUUGUCUCCUCCUUUCCUUUCCUAUCCUCCUCUCUCAUUGUGUACAGCUUAUGUUUGUAUGCUAGGGUUUCUGUUGAACAUGCAGCAGCAGCACAGGAGUCUGCGUUCUGGUUCUUGUGUGUCGCUGCUUCCACCCGCAGUAUCUCAUGGGAGAGCCGUCAUGACGAUGAGCUCCGUUUCCUUGGAAACACGCUUUCUGCUUCCUCUGCUCAACGUGUUUCUGUCACAACUGUGGAAACUGGAUUAAACUGCAGCAAAAAAUAUGAGUUUGAUCAUGUCCCUGUAAUGUCUUUGUGCCGUGCUGAUAAUGAGCAGGUUGUUUCUCCUGUUAAUUCUCAGACACUGAAGCUUUGA
Molecule: long non-coding RNA, 3813 nt
Filed under: Carassius auratus (goldfish)
Lineage: Eukaryota; Metazoa; Chordata; Actinopteri; Cypriniformes; Cyprinidae
Description: lncRNA (ENSCARG00000055528.1)
Source: RNAcentral